This 314-nucleotide ribosomal RNA is filed under the name uncultured eukaryote. RNAcentral describes it as "partial 18S ribosomal RNA". It matches the Rfam family "Eukaryotic small subunit ribosomal RNA", at positions 1470 to 1796 of the family's 1831-position model. The record is from RNAcentral.
CCCUUAGAUGUUCUGGGCUGCACGCGCGCUACACUGAUACUUUCAGCGAGUCCACCACCUUGCCUGAGAGGGUGGGGUAACCUCUGGAAAGUGUAUCGUGAUGGGGAUCGAUUAUUGUAAUUAUUAAUCUUCAACGAGGAAUUCCUAGUAAGCAUGUGUCAUCAGCCCGUGCUGAUUACGUCCCUGCCCUUUGUACACACCGCCCGUCGCUCCUACCGAUGAGUCGUCCGGUGAAGUUCGUAGACCUCGUGAUCGCGGAUCACUGGGGGAAGCAAAAUGAACCUCGCGGUUUAGAGGAAGGAGAAGUCGUAACA